Non-coding RNA from Crotalus tigris (Tiger rattlesnake), 1576 nucleotides. The record is from the annotation of a RefSeq genome assembly. NCBI's taxonomy places the organism in Eukaryota, Metazoa, Chordata, Lepidosauria, Squamata, Viperidae.
AGGCCACACCCAUUGACACAAAGCUUGUGCACUUUCUUGAAUGCUUUCCUAUCCAAAAAUGACUCUGUGGCCAAAGUUGGUGUUCUUACUACUCCUUGGAGGUGUCCAGUCAGAGGAGAAGUUGGUGGAGUCUGGAGGGGACGUGAGAAGACCUGGAGGGUCCCUCCGCCUCUCCUGCCAAGCCUCUGGAUUCACCUUCAGCAGCUCCUACAUGCACUGGGUGAGACAGGCCCCAGGGAAAGGACUGGAAUGGGUUUCAGAGAUACAUCCAAGUUCAUCUGGGAUUACAUACUCAGACAAAGUGAAGGGACGCUUCACCACCUCCAGAGACAAUGCCAAAAGCCAGCUGUAUCUGCAGAUGAACAGCCUCAAAGCUGAAGACACGGCUGUCUAUUACUGUGCUAGAGACACAGUGAGGGGAAGUGAAUCUGAAGCCAGACAAAAACCUUCCUUUCCUCAGAGCCGCUCAGCAACUUGAUUCAAUUGUGGAUCCUGGUUUAGUCAAUAAGGAUGGAUCACCAUCCAUUGAGAAUUUUAGGAAUCUUUUGUUCUAGGAAUCCAGUUAGAGACUUUACCCACCAAAACUGAAAAAUGAUAAAAAUGGCUUGAAAAUUCCAGUUUCAGCUUCCUCGUUUACCAGGUGAGGGUAAACCUAAUGUGGAUUUUGUAAUUUGUUAACUAACACAGUUAUUUGUUUUGUAAUUUGUUAACUAACACAGUUAGUUUGCAUUUUCAUUUGAUUUAUUUCCUCUUUUUUUAAAAUGAUGUUCAGGUUUAUUAGCUUUUAACAUCCCUAAAUUGAUAAAUAGGCUUGAGAUUAUCUCCAGAUAAGAAAAAAAAAGUUUGUUACUACAAAUUGAGGUCUGUUUUUUUUUCUCUUUUGUGAACUCCAAGCAAUCUUUUGCCUUGCAAUGUAUGCCCCUUCUGACAUCAGACUUCAUUUUAAUGAACAUGUGUGAUAGUAUAGGUUGCAAAUAUGUAACAGGUUUGACUACAUGUAACUGAUUCCCUAUGUAAAGGGGAGAUUACUUUUAUCCUGCCCCAUCAACUUUCCUCCUGCAUUUUCUUUGUUGUGUUAACUCUAACAGGGAAUAUAAGAUGGGUCUUGGGGUUCUCUCUAUCCUUUUUCAGAGAGAGAGAGAGAGAAAGAGAGAGAGAGAGAGAUCCCAUUUUAUCAAGAUAUCCUAAAAAACUACUUUUAAAUGAUCUUCCAACUCGGUUGCUUAUUGGGAAGGUAAAUUGAGGCAGAACUUAGGGCCAGAUUUGGCUAUCACCGAUGAUCUGGCUUCAGAAACAUGAGAUAAAUUUUUACCAAUGGUUAGGAAAACAAACUAGUGAGAAAUGAACGUGAUCUGUUAUUUUGAAUAUAUAUUAGUAAGAAGAACGAUAUGUAUUGACGAUCUGAUACUGUUUAUGAUUAUUGUUUUAUCAUAUUCACUACAGCUAUUUACUAUUAUAUUAAUUAGUGUUAACUGAACAUAUGUACCCAAAUAAUAGUCUGUUUGCUAAAACUUGAAAAUGUUACUGGGGGGCAACCCCAAUGUUGUUCCCAAUCCUGUCCCAACCCCAAUCCUAA